Molecule: long non-coding RNA, 1668 nt
Organism: Ictalurus punctatus (channel catfish)
Lineage: Eukaryota; Metazoa; Chordata; Actinopteri; Siluriformes; Ictaluridae
Source: Ensembl
GGGUUUUGACAAGCUUCAGCAUGUCUGCUUUUCCAAAAAGGAGUCAUGAUUGAACGAUCAUAAGCGUUUCCAGUGUAAAAAUGAUUUUUUUUAAAUUGCAAUUUUAUUAACUGUGGUAUGUGUACCAUCUCAAUCAGGUAUUUCCCUUAUAAUGUUUAGACUGCUGUUAGGAAUGAGGGAUGUGGUUAAAGGGUUCGGAGAACAUACCUCACUUUGGAUCGACGUUAUUAGCCUUAACUGUUCGCAUGUGUGCCGUUCGAACUCAUUCGAAGUCGCUGAUUUAGUGCUUCGCAUGUCCUUACUCUGAAGCAUCACAUUCCUGCUUGAAACAAACGGAAAUCGGCUAGAUGUUAUUUUCAGUUCAUCUCCAUGGAAGUUUAUACUUUUAGUGCUUUCUUCUUUAUUGCUUUGGUUUUGAUUGCAAGCACAAAUUGAGUAGAUUGGGGACUUUAGUUGGGUGUAGAUUUGUCCAAAGGAACACUCCGUGUAUAUCUGUGUGAUUCAGAUUGUUUCGUGUGCAGAGGAGGUAAAAGUACACUGAUUUUUUUUUUAAAUGCAUAAGCUGGUACAAGUGGACGUAGAGCUGCAAAGUCUUUACAGAUGUUCAAGUAAAAGUAGAAAGGUUUCUGCAUAGGGGUCCUUCAGUUUCCUUCCACCUUCCAGAAACAUGCCAGUAGGUGGAUUAGCUAUUCUAACUUACCUCCAGGUCCUGCACAUUGUUUACUUUUCCAGCAACUUGUGCAUAUUUGAGUCCUUUCCAACAGCGGCUAUAUGAUGUUGAGACCCGUCUUUUCACACUGAGGACGACUGAGGGACUCGUCUCAUACACGACUAUUACAAAAGGUGCAAACGUUCACUGAUGAUCAAGAAGGCAACCUGAAAAGAACAGAAUGGUUAACGCUGUGUAUUAGAUCCAAAUGCAAGUUCAGGAGUUAGCGCUACUCGAUGCCUACUGUACACUGUCCCUCACUGAAGCAGAAACCGGAUCUAAAGCCGUGCUGAAUGAUACUGAAUACUUAAAAUGCAGUUCGUUAGGAAAGUUGAAUUCUAUCUAGAUGUAUUUUCCUCCCCUUGAAGAGACAUUUGGAAGGCAUAAUGCUACAAAAAGAACUAUUCAGACUAAUCCAGACGCGACUGCAGCACUUGUACUUGCCAUGAUAUACACCAAUCUGCUUUGACAUACUGUUUAGUAAAGUAGUCUGCGGUUUUGGACACUUCUCCUGGGAUAGAAGAGGAUCUGUCGUGCUUACAUCCUUCAGUUCGAAUGAAAUUGCUGUCACUAAGUCUGCUGGAUCCCAUCUGAUCAGCCAGGCACACUUGGCCCAUCUCUCAAGGUUGCAAUCUCACUAAAAGAAAAUAAAAGUGUACGUUGCUUUUGUAGUUUGGUCACACGGCCCUGCAGUGUUUGUGUUGCUGUAGGGUCUGUAAAUCAGCCUUAAUGCUCUUAUUAAAUUGAAUAAUUCAUCAUGCAAAGAUCCCCAAAUUUUACAUCAUGUUGAACUAAUUACUAAGUGACUUUGCCUACAGCCUUACAAAGUCAAAGCAGGAUGUUUACAUGGACGCGUUGAGUGUGUUUCAUUAAAAACACAGCCAUGAUCCUUCUGGAUGCAUUAUGCAGAUUUUGGUCAAACAUAACGAUGAAAUUAUUGAAAAGAAAAAGUAUGGAUA